UGGCUCUUGCAUCGAUGAAGAACGCAGCGAAAUGCGAUACGUAAUGUGAAUUGCAGAAUUUAGUGAAUCAUCGAAUCUUUGAACGCAUAUUGCACUCUUUGGUAUUCCGAAGAGUAUGCCUGUUUCAGUAUCAGAAGUACCAUCGAAAUCUCUCUUCUUUUUUGGUCGAGAUUUUCGGAUCUGGGUCUCGUAUGUUCUUUCUCUCCGGGGAGAGACUUUUUGUUGAGCAUACUGGCCUGAAAUUUAAUCACGAUCUAGUUCAGGUGAACAUCCAAAGAUCCUUCCAAUAAGGCAUCAUAGUUGACCGUGGUCAUCUUUUUGCUGUGGGUUUCGAGGGUGCUGGGCAUUUUUCGCGCAAAUUGCAAAUUGCAAAAAUUUUUCAAUUUGAUCUGAAAUCAGGCAGGAUCACCCGCUGA
Molecule: unclassified non-coding RNA, 416 nt
Filed under: uncultured fungus
Lineage: Eukaryota; Fungi
Description: partial contains 5.8S ribosomal RNA and internal transcribed spacer 2
Rfam family: 5.8S ribosomal RNA (bases 1-133)
Source: RNAcentral